Sorex araneus (European shrew) is the source of this 1251-nucleotide long non-coding RNA. RefSeq lists it as uncharacterized. The record is from RefSeq and is a predicted model, not a curated record. The transcript is spliced from 3 exons. NCBI's taxonomy places the organism in Eukaryota, Metazoa, Chordata, Mammalia, Eulipotyphla, Soricidae.
GCGGCGGGCAGGGCGUGUCACCUGCUCUGCCCAGGCCCUGGCCACCCGGCCUCGCGAGCGCCAGCCCCCCAAUCUGCCUCCACCUGGAAAGCCCUGGCCGUCAUCGCCCCGAGCCCCGUGCCCCCCCAAAGCGGCCACCGCGCGCCCUUGAAGGGCAGCGGCGGCUCUAGAACCUUCGGGGCACGGUUGAUGGACGCCAAGGAAGGCAGGGCCCCUCAGAGGGGAUGGACUUCAGCUUCCCUCCCUGCCCUGAGCAGAGCUCCCGGCAGCCGAAGAUCACCAGAACCUAGCUACAGCUAUGCUCAAGGCCCCUCUCCACACGUUCGGACAAGCCUCACACAUGAAAGUACAGGCAGAGGAACCCAGGCUCUUUAGGUCACACCAAGCAAUGCUCAGGGGUUACUCCUGGCUCUCCACUCAGGAAUUACUCCUGGCAGUGCUCAGGGGACCCUAUGGGACGCCGAGGAUCCAACCCGGGUCGACUGCGUGCAAGGCAGAUGCCCUACCCACUGUACUAUCGCUCCAGCCCCGAAUGGGUGAAUUUUAAAUUGCUGGCAAUUAUGAGGCCUCACGGUGAGGUCUGCAUCUGUCUCUAGGCACAGGCCUCCUGAGGGACCCGCAACCCCGCACUGGCCUCUGCAGCAGUGGAUCAAGUCUCAGGCAGGGGCUAAGUGCUCUGAAGGUUGAUUUCGCUCUUGACCAGGUUAGAAAGCCAGAUGAGUGUUCUGAUCCGCAGGUGGCCUGUCUAAGGCUAUUGUGCGCCCAGCCCUUACCUGUUUUGAACAAAGUGCUGCUUUUCCUUCCCUAACUGCGUGGGGCAGCUGUGCGGAGAGGAAUUGCAUUCAAACAAUGGGGCCCAGUAUGAGCCAGAACAAGGACGCUUGCCACGUGUACAUUGGAGAUGCUGAGCCUCUGCGGUGCAGCCAGGAAACCCCCUACCUGACUAACCUCUGACAGCGCCGCCUUGUGGGGGACGAGAGGGUCACUCGAUACCGCCCAGCUCCUGAGACUGAGCCUCUCGCUCCAGAUUCAGCCCAAGGAUGGGCGCCCAGAGGAGGGGACGCAGGGGGAGGUGGGGAGAAGGUGUCUCUGGAAUCCUCGCUCAGAGCAAUCACGGCCCUAUUGAUUAUCAAGGGACCAGGUGGAAGAAUAUUCCAGGAAACUUAGACAAACGCGAGAGCAUGUGGAGUUUUCAUCUAGCCAAGCCCUCCCUGGGCAUUUUGUUCCCCCUCCCACCCUGCCUGGUCUGUG